This is a non-coding RNA of Russula vinacea, 132 nucleotides long. The record is from the annotation of a GenBank genome assembly. Lineage: Eukaryota; Fungi; Basidiomycota; Agaricomycetes; Russulales; Russulaceae.
GCCCCGUUAGCCCAGCUGGUAGAGCGCGUCACUAAUGAUGUGAUCUAGAAAAUCACAUCGUGAUCUUGAAAAUCAUAAAGUGACCUUGAAAGUCACGAUGACGAGUUCACCGGUUCGAGUUGGCUCUGGGAA